AGAAAGUGCAUUUUCUGAAGAAACUGCAGUGUGAAUGCUUGAAUCUGAAUGUAUGCAUUGAAAUGAAAUAAUUACUGAAUUUAAGUUAAAAAUUUUGAAUGAGAUUAAAAAAAAAACCCGAAUUUAACCUGAAAACAAAGGUGCUGAACUGCUAAAAGCUGAAGGUUACACAGAAGAAGGAGUUGGAAAAAAACUGAAAAUGUUUUAAAUGUAAAUUAGAAAACCCUAAGAAAUGAGAAAAGAACAUUUAGAGUCAGAAAACAUCUGAAUGAAUAUUAAAAGGUCAUAUUCUUUGAAUCACUGAAUGACUAAAAUGUGAUCCCUCCACUUGGACCCACACAGUUUAAAAAGUUUACAUCUCUGAGCUUUGAAAGACAAGAUGUUGGAAAAAGAACAACGAUGGCGACGUUUUGAGGGUAAAAUGAUGGCUGUGACACUGUGGACACAGCAGCAGUUGAAAGAGAAGUGUUUAAGAUAAAUCUUGGCAGAGAGAGAGAGAGAGAGAGAGAGAGAGCUCGUUAAGCAGGCAGGUGUGAGCCUGGUUGCUAUAGUGACCGCACCCAAUGGCUCCAUACACACGUACACAGACAUGCGCCUCACUUUUGCUGCUUAAAAUGAACAGAAACGUCAGCCCUAAACAAAUCGCUCCCAAAUGAAAAGUAUAGGUCGUAUUGACAAAAUUCUUUCACCGUGAGCGGCAGCAAUGUCCAGUCUACCAAAUUCUCAGUUUUCAUGCCUGUGGAGUUUAUUAUAUGGACGUGGUGACAGUGUAAAGACACCAUGCUCUUCUGAUUUUCAAACGAACCUUCUGAGCCAUUUUAACAUUAGAGUCUAUGGAAGAGUUGGAGGGAGGAGGCUGUGCAUUGGUGACAUUUAUGAAAGAACCAUAACACCUAGUACAAUAGUAAACACAUUGGAUGAAAGAGGACAGCGAUGGCUACGUUUUGAGGGUAAAAUCAUACCUGUAGAGCAAACGCUGCGGACACAGCAGCAGUUUUAAAAAAGAUUUUAAGAUUAAUUUUUUUGCUCCUCUCACUCUAGCAGUUGAGCUGCCUCACUCUAGCCCCAACAUUCCGUCCCAUACACACCCAUUAUAAACUCUGAAACGGGUGAAAAAACAUCAUGAAAC
Molecule: long non-coding RNA, 1129 nt
Organism: Astatotilapia calliptera (eastern happy)
Lineage: Eukaryota; Metazoa; Chordata; Actinopteri; Cichliformes; Cichlidae
Source: Ensembl